GUAACUGGAUCUGAAGCAGGAACUGAUCUGGGGAAAGAAUCUGCAGUCAGCUCUUAGGAGAAAAGAAGCCAGGUUAAUCGGGUUAUUCUCUUGGGGAUUUGGAACAGGGAUUCUGAGAAACCGGGGUGGCUAAGACAAGGGGAACAAUGUUAAAACUCCAGGGCACAGGCCUGGCCCUAAGUAAGAUCUGCAAGCAGAGGAAGAGAGAAAGGAGGAUGGAGCUGUGGUCCACAGAGACACACAAAGAUGAGCUCAUCCGUGGUGCUAUUUAUACAUAGGAGAGUAACUCCCAGCUUUCAGUUUCCAAUUCCAGUUUUCCCAAGGCCCAGAUGGCCUCUCUCUUCCUGGACCCCAACAGCUCCAUGUUUCAUCUUUUGGCAGCUAUCAAUCCCAGCAGGAACACACUCCCAGAAGUGAGUCUCCUUGGCCAACUCCCAAACAAAACAAACUGAUUGACCAUGCUUGGAUCAGUCUACCCAUGAAACUGGGGGAAGAAUCAGCCCUAACCAAACCACGUCGACUGAGUGAGUUUCCUGCACAAAGAUCCAAGGGAUACCAGGACAAGGGGAAAUGAAUACCAAGAGGUCAGGGUAACAAACACCCAAGGUCAUCUCCCAGUACUCCCCAGUAUGUACACUCUUUCAGAAGGUAUGUCUCCUCACAUACCUUCAGUGCCAGACAACAUUUGCAGGUACCUCCAAUAAAACCAGAUACCAUUUGCAGGUAUAGUGGAUCCUCAUUAUUUGAGAAUUUGCAUACUUGCUACAAUAUAUUUGUAACUCCAUACUCAAUACUUAAGGCACUUUCUUGGGUCAUUUGUGGACCUGUGCAUUUUUGUGUGUAUUGUUGGUGAGCUUGCUGCUUAAAAUGACCCCUAAGUGCAGUGCUGAAGGGCAGGUUAGCGUUCCUAAGCACAAGAAGGCCAUGAUGUACCUUAAGACGUAUGUUUCAUAAACUACAUUCAGGCAUGAGUUACGGUACUGUUUGCUGAGUUUGAGGUACGAGGCUGGCAGGACUUGUGUUCUGGUCGUAACUCUGCUGACCAAAACAGGAUCUGGCUCAGACAGGAUAAAGUGAAGAAACUGGAGGAAACCAGCAAAUGGUGACCAAAGCAAUCUCUAGCUGCCCUCAUUGCUCACUUGCAUGAGACUCUCCCACCAGCACCAUGACAGUCCACAAAUACCGUGGCAACAAUCCAGAAGUGACCACCCCUUUUCCAUGGCAAUGACCCAGAAUUUACUGUUUCUUUCCUACAAAGUCCUAAAUAAUCCUUUCCUCAAUUUGCAUUAACCCACCCCUUAAUUUUCACAUAAUUAAAAGUGGGUUUAAUUGGGUAUAAACAAAGUUGCCAACAGCCCAGGUGCUGGCUCUGGAAACACUGCCUGUGUGUUAGCCCUGCUCAGCAAGGUAGCAGUACCAUUCAAUGAAAGAUUGCUGUCUGACACCACCAGCUCACCCUCAAAUUCUUUCCCGGGCAAAGACAAACCCCCACCACCACUGACCUAAGCCCCAAAAUUAGGGAUUGCCUGUCCUGCAUCAAGUUCAAUGCUAAUUAAUCAACAAUAUAUAUUCAAUAAGGUGUUUUUUUUUUUUUUUUAAGAGAAACACUCACAAAACAAGGUUACAUAUUGAUACGUUGACAAAAUAUUGUGACCAGAGACGGACAGGACUCUCUAACCCUGUAAUUCCCCUAGGAGAAAUAAUGCAGUAUCUACUAAUUCAGUGUUUGUUGUGUCUUUAUAGAAUGUAACUGCUGCAAAUAGUAAUAAGAAAAAUAGAAUCAAUGUGUGUGUGUGUGUCUGCGUCUGUGUGUGUGUGUGUGUAAAAUCUGAUUCAAUUUUAUGCUUUCUUGGACUGCCUCCCAAAUGCCUUGUGUAUUUUGUCUUUCCAUCCACACUGCAAACUCCUCUGGAAUUCAUACCAUGUCGGCAGACAGCUAGGAACACAGUAGGUUCUCCCAAACUUACUGACUCAUGAAUAUAUUGGUCAGUUACAGAACUCACAUCAACCAAGCUACAAGCGCUUCUACUCAAAAAACAUCCGCAGCCUGAUCUACUAUCUUAUUUGCUUUUAGUCUUUCCCCUCUGGGUGUGUUGUAGACCUAUCCAAAUAUGGUCUCAAUUCAAAACUGUUUUUCAUUUUAAAGGCAAAGGAGCGUGACACAGGCUAGAGAAUUCUGUACUGAAACCAGUUCUUGACUCCGGGUAGAGAAAAGUUUGCACGUUUUACAUCUCAGUGGCCACAGACCACUAGUACUGAGCACGUACCUCUCUGGUUCCCCCGGAAAAUCAUGGCAUACACCGGCAUCUCUGGUUUUCCAUUGUCCUUGGGCUGACCUUGCAGCCAC
Molecule: long non-coding RNA, 2347 nt
Organism: Papio anubis (olive baboon)
Lineage: Eukaryota; Metazoa; Chordata; Mammalia; Primates; Cercopithecidae
Source: Ensembl